Capsella rubella is the source of this 500-nucleotide long non-coding RNA. RefSeq lists it as uncharacterized. The record is from RefSeq and is a predicted model, not a curated record. The transcript is spliced from 3 exons. NCBI's taxonomy places the organism in Eukaryota, Viridiplantae, Streptophyta, Magnoliopsida, Brassicales, Brassicaceae.
AUUGCACUCCCUACUCCUUUGUGGGUGUGCACAAAAGGGCAACCAGGUUCAAUGAACCUGGGACUUUCUAUGGUGUUUAUCAUUCUUCAUAUACAUCACCCACAAAAUGGGGUAAGAAGCAAGAAGAUAUAAACAUAUAUAUGUUUCAGUUUCAUUGACUUGUCGGCCGAUUCAUCACUUCAUUCUCAUGAGAGAUCAACCUCAAAGAUCCGGAGUCAAACAUCUAACUAUAUACAUAGUAUGGCAUCGAGAGAUUCAAGUAUGACACAAAAAUAUGAGUCGUGUUAAUGGCUUGGAGCCAAUUGGAGCAUGAAAAAAGAAGAGUUCCCCUAUCAAAAACUUCAAUCUCUUUUGUGAGAGAAAACCAAAAAUAAAGUUUAUAUGUAAUCGUUGUCUUGUACUUCAUUUUCAUUAUUUUUUCUAUUUUGCAUGGACAAACUAAGAUUAUACUUGGUUGUAAUCCUAUUCUAUAACUGGGCCUUGCUGACGCAUUUAUGGGA